This 7004-nucleotide long non-coding RNA is filed under the name Homo sapiens (human). RNAcentral describes it as "non-protein coding lnc-ATL2-1:11". Lineage: Eukaryota; Metazoa; Chordata; Mammalia; Primates; Hominidae. The record is from RNAcentral.
AUUUCAGGCGAGCCGAGCCCCAGAGCCAUGUGUCUGGUGCGCAGUGUUAACAGGGCAGUUAUACCUUUUACAGACAACUGUGGCUCCAAGUCAAGUAUGAACUUACACAAACAGUUUAUAUAACAAGUGGAGGUGUGCGCCUGCGUGCCAAACUUGCUGACUCGUGCAGGCCUGGAUACCCGCCUCAGACUAUUCCUUGACCGAAGCACUUCCAGGGCAGGAAACUGAAGCUCUUGGGAAGGUGGAAGUUGCACGUGGUCUCACAGUCAACUGUGCCAGAAUAGGAGGCCAGGAACCAUCUCUGCUGGAGGAAGACCCACCACGCAUCCCUUCAAGAAUGCCAAGGUCCAGAGCAAGUGCUUCCCUUCUAUGGGCACAGGAGGGCUGUGGGAGCCCACAGAAUGUGCUUCUGGCCAGAGUGGGAUCCCCGAGGAAGAUGUUAAGACCUCUAAUAAUAUUUAAGAGCAAAAUUAGCACAGCUCCAGCCCAUGGGCAAGUUAAGAGACAGGAGUAGUGUCUGUGGAGUGGAGGAAAGCAGAGGCUGCCGCUGACCAUCCUGCAGCCCUCGCUCUGGCUGCUCACAGCUCUCCACCUUCUCUGGACUUCGUCACUUCAGUAUGUGAAACAACCAUUUCAACCAGCUUGGACAAAAGAGAGAAGCCAAGAUGGGGCUGAGAAACCAAUGCAGGCAGGCCCAGGGACCCAGGAGUCAGGGACCAGGUGCUACCAGAUGCUUGCUCCGACUCGUGUUGCUGCUGUCUUCUCUGUGCCUCAACUCUGUCCUCUGUCACUGCAGGCAGCUUCCUCCCAAGGUGGAUGAAAAAGUCUGGGGAGGACUUUGACUCUUACCCAUCCCCUGGAAAAAUCAACUGGGGAGGUGGAAUUCAUGGAAGAACAUGGCAGCUCCUGAGGCAGAUGUUUGGGUUGGAAAGAACACAGCAUUCAUUCAUUCAUGUGGCACUUUUUUUUUUUUUUGACGGAGUUUCACUCUGUCACCCAGGCUGGAGUGCAGUGGCGCGAUCUCAGCUCGCUCAUGCAGCACAUUUUUAUUGAGCAAAACUGAGAGGCUGAGUGAGAGACCAAAGUCUUCACUGAUGAGGGAGAGGGUGCCCAGAGAUUGGCAGAUGAAGGUGAAGAGAAAAGGUAGAGGACACCAAGGGCCCUGCCAAGCAGCAGAAGUAGGAGGAAUUGAGGAGCUUCUUCCGGAAUGAAAUCAGUUGCACUUUUUUAUUUUUUAUUUUUUGAGACAGGGUAUUUCUCUGUUCUCCAGGCUGGAGUGCAGUGGUUGAUCUCGGCUCACUGGUGACCAACCUUUGGCUCCUGGCUCAAGUGGUCUUCCUGCCUCAGCCUCCUGAGGAGUUGGUAUUACAGGCACGUACCACCAUGCCUGGCUGAUUUUUGUAUUUUUAGUAGAGAUGGGGUUUCACCAUGUUGUCCAGGCUGAUCUUGAACUCCUGAACUCAAGUAAUCAGCCCACCUCGGCCUCCCAAAGUGCUGGGAUUUUAGGCGUGAGCUACCGGGCCCGGCCCAAUUGCUCCUUUGAAAGGAAGUCCUGCUAUGAAAAAAAGUAGCAGUUGAACUAAAUGGUGAAUUGAAUGAUGUAGCUGCUUUACAUCCUGGCUCAAGCUCCUGACCUUGUUGUAAAACAAUAAAAGUUUGGGCACCAGCAGUGAGUCUGCCAGCUACACUGUGAGUAGCUGUGCCCGAGGGGAAUUCUUGCACAUACUCUAUGGGAGAUGUGUACAAGAAUGUGCAUAGUAGCAUUGUCUAUAAUAGCUAAAAAAGGAAACAACCCAGAUAUUCAUAAGUAACAGAAUAACGAAGAAAUUUUGGCAUAAUGAAAUCCCAUAUAGCAAAGAAACCAAAUAAACUACAGCUACACUCAUCAACAUGAACAAAUUUCAAAAAUACUGUUGAGCAAAGACAGCAUGUUAAGAAGGUUACAAUUAGCAUGGCUUUGUCACAUGAAAUUCACAAAAGGCACCACUAAGCAGUAUAUUGGUUAGGGAUCCACAACAAAUGGAUUAAAACUAUAAAGGAAAGCCAGGGAAUGAGUAACACCUGUGUCAGGUCAGUGGCUUGCCCCAGGGUUUGGGAAGGGAGAGCAAGACAAUUGGGAAGGGUGGGCAUGGAGUGAGCUUCAUGGUAUUGGCAAUGUUCAAUUCCUUAAGCUGGGUGGUGUGGAUAUGUGUAUCUGGUUUUUAUUAUUAUUCUUUAAGCUGGACAUAUACGUUAUGCACAUUCUUUUGUAAUAUGAUCUAUUUCACAAUGAAAAAAAAUUGUAAAGCAGAUAUAGCCAAAACCAAAGCUCCUCCACACCCCAAUAAAAGGUAGAGUUUGAUGUGGUUGAAGAGUCUGAGCCUCAAUGGAAUGAGGACUUUUCCAGAUGUGGUGCUGUACUGGCUGGAAUAGCAUCCGGGAGAAAGGAGGAUGGCAAAGCAACCCACACUGCCCCCUGGCCAGGGCAUCGGCAGCUGGACUGAGGGGUGCCCUGGUAUCCCCGGGACCUCCUUUUCCUAUGGCUCUGGGACCGCUGUGUGCCCACUCUAUGCCCCUUUCUUCCUGCACCACAAUCCUCAGGGGUUGGCUGGCUUUUCGGAGUCGCCACCAGGUACUUUAUUUCUCACAGCUUUCCCACGGCUGCCUGCUGAGUAGGAGGCAAUUAUCCUAACUUCUCAUGUUUUUGACCCUCAAAGCAAGUGCCCCAGCCCAUUUGGAGUUAAAAAUGUGAAAGCAUUUUGGACCACAUCCAAAAUCUGGUCACUCACCAUGUGAUUACCUUUUUAGGGAAGGUUUAUCAUUUGCCUGCUGAAGUUUACUUUAAUUUCUGAAUGUUUUGCAAACACAUUCUUUGUUGACAGCCCUAGCUGGAAAUGUUUCAGCUCACCGUGUUCUGGGUAAAAAACAUUGUCAAGUCUUUUUUUAACCCCUCACGUUAGAUGGUUUUUCUUGGCCUGCAUUUCAGUGUCCAUUAACCUUAGUGUCGUAACAUCUUGGAGUUAGAAGCAACCUUGGAAGCCACCCAUCCAACUUCCCACCCAGUGGGAGAAUUGUUCUGAAGCUUGCCUGAUCACCAGCCUCAGAUAGCUUGCUUUUUAAGGGCAUUGCUGUACAGACACAGAGUACCAUAGUUUACCAAUUCCCCAUAACAUUUUGCAUACAUUUUCAUGAAUCUUGCAGAAUCAGAAAGCAGUGUGAGCAAUUCCAAGUUUGCUAAUUAAAUUAAAAUGAGCACAGACUCUUACAAAACAGGUUUUAGAGUUUCAGGAGGCCUUACAUGGUCAAAGACAUUUUUCACCUACUUAAAAUAAUCCUAUCCUGGUUAGCAGGGACAGAGAGAUGAGGGAGUUGGACACAUCACAUGCUUGGAAGGAGAAGCAGAGAAGGAUUGCUUGGCAGUCCUGUGUGUACAUUUUCUUCUGUCCCUUUGUUCUUACUUUCUUGCCUCCUUAAAAGAACAGAGAUGGCCAGGUGCGGUGGCUCACACCUGUAAUCCCAGCAUUUUGGGAGGCCGAGGUGGGCGGAUCACGAGGCCAGGAGUUCGAGGCCAGCCUGACCAACAUGGUGAAACUCCGUCUCUACUAAAAAUACAAAAAUUAGCCAGGCGUGGUGGUGGGCGCCUGUAAUCCCAGCUACUCAGGAGACUGAGGCAGGAGAAUCACUUGAACCUGGGAGGUGGAGGUUGCAGUGAGCUGAGAUCGCACCACUGCACUCCAGCCUGGGCAACAGAGUGAGACUUGGUCUCAAAAACAAACAAACAAACAAACAACAAACAAAAACAAAACAAAACAAAAAAAGAACAAAUGGUAUAUAAAUGAAGAAUAUAGACAUUGCCCUGCUGAAGGGCGCUGGACUGGCCUGUCAUCCUCCCACUGCCACCGCCUGUCUUUCCACCUAAUGGUAACUGGAUGCCUUGUCCCAUUAGUUUGGGCCUACCCCAGUUUCUGAGCCCACCGAGAGAUAGUGCAAUGUGUGUUAAUAGUUGCCCCUUCCACCUGUCUCCCUAACUUUUGUUCUGCUCCAGUAGAGGGAGCCAAGCGGUGAUACCAGCUGCUAUGGUGGUUAAGUGAGCUUGAGCCUUGAGCCACGCUGGGACCUUGGUGGCACAGGCCCCUCAGAGUAAGGGGAGGAAGCUGGCCUGGGAAAGACUGAAGUUAACCCAUCAGAACAACAGGGUUGUUCUGUGCCUAACCCCUCUCUCAUGCAAGCUGAGGAGAGUUUCUGGGCUAAAGAAGGUAGCUGAAGAUUUUUUUUUUUUUAAGUUAGGGGUAGGAAGCUCAAGCAGGGGUGAGGAGAGAACAAUGCAAGGUGCUGACCCAGCCUGGACACACAGGUGCAAGGUCCAGGGGGCAUGUGAAGUUCAGGUAAGCUUAAGUAAUGGUUGUGAGAAGGCCUAGUUGGUGGCACAGGGCCUGGUGGACCCUUCACAGCAUGAUACCCCAGUCAGAGCCUAUGCAGAGAGACAGGCAAGAAGUGGCAGGAUGUCGGGGCCACAAGCAGAAGCUCAGGGCAGGCCAGCAUGCCCUGCAGGCCACCAGGGGCAGGAGCCUCCUUCAAGGUUCUGAUCCUGCUGUGUGGUCCCUCCCCAGACACCCAGAUCUCCCGCAGCACGCUGAGCACCUAGAGACUGGUCCAGGACUGAUGCACUCACAGAUCUGCCUGGGUCCCGUCUGAUGACUCGAAGGGGCCAAGGAGACUGGGACUGACUGCCUGAACUGCCGGGCCCCAAGUUCCGUCAAUUCAAAUCAACAAAUACUGGACUGUGUAUCUCUGGGUGAGGGAGUUGGGGUAGGAUAAAGAUAAGGGGCUGGGUGGCCAACUAAGAGGGAGAUUAGGAAAUGCUGAUAAUGUCAUAUCAUAUGAAUUAUACAGCAGAUUACACAGCCAGAGGACACUGCUUCGUUAGUCCAUACAGGCAUCUAUUUACAUGGGGCAUUUACAUGGGAGAAGGAGAGGGGGAAGACAACAUAGGAAGAGAGGAAGCGGGGGAAGAAUUUUGCAUAGAAAAAAUGCAGUGCCAAUCCCUGACCUUGUCUUCCAGUCCAGUGGCAGGUGGCAGCAGGGAAGGACUAAAGGAGCCAUUUCCGCAGGGCGUCAGGGAGACAGAGGCCACAGCUAUCUGCUUAGGUUCCAAAGUAACUUCAGGGAUACUGAGUGGAGGAGAGGGUCAUUGUCCUCACCCCGCUGUGCAGCAAAGCAUCUCUGUGAGUGUGAGGGCAGCAGAGGUGUAACUCCAUGUUGGCACCUACACCACUGGUGUAGUGGAAGCAGCACCCUUGGCGUGCACACAGGUGUAUCCCCAGAGGGCAGCCUGAGAGCGCAGCGCAGAGCAUCCGCAGGACUUGAGUGGGAUCGGAGGUCAGGAACCAGUGACGUUCUGGACACACCCAUUAUUUUCAACUGGUUGGUACCAGGUUGGGCCAGUAGGACCUGCAAAUACUCCAGUUGUGGAAGUUAACAGAGUGUCCUCUCUAGGCGCUUUAAUUGCCACCUUCAUAACAGCCUUGAAAAAUUCCACCCGCCCCCCAACCUUUUAAAUUUCUUUUCUUUUCUUUUUUGUCUUUUGAAACGGAGUCUCACUCUGUUGCCCAGGCUGAAGUGCAGUGGUGCAAUCUCAGCUCACUGCAGCCUCCACUUCCCGGGUCCAAGCGAUUCACCUGUCUCAGCCUCCCAAGUAGCUGGGACUACAGGCACGUGCCACCAUGCCUGGCUAAUUUUUAUAUUUUUAGUAGAGACGGAGUUUCACCAUGUUGUCCGGGCUGGUCUCGAACUCCUGGCCUUAAGUGAUCCGCCCAUCCCGGCCUCCCAAAGUGCUAGGAUUACAGGCAUGAACCACCGCACCCGGUCCCUACCUUUUAAAUGUCAUAGAACUUUUCUGAAUCUGCAAUUACCUUGUUUUUUUUCCUUUGGUCCAAGGGUCAGCCAAUUUUAAAAAUUUUUUUUUCUGUAAAGAGCCAGAUAGUAAGUACUUUUGGCCUUGGGGGCCAUAUGGUCUCUGUUACAACUGCUCAGCUCUGCCACUGUGGUCUGGAAGCAGCCAUUGACAAUGCAUAGACUAACGAAUGUGACUGUAUUCAAAUAACAGAUGAUUUAUGGACUCUGACACUGGAAUUUUAUAUACAUUUUCACAAAUUACAAAACAUUCUUUUUGAUUUUUUUCACAAAUCCAAAAAUAUGAAAAACAUUUUUAACUUGUUGGGUGCAGAGACAGUCCCUGGCCGUAGUUUACCAAUCCCUGAGGGUCAGGAAGGGCUCAUAGUUGUGUUGCUAGUGCCUAGCACAAUGUCCGACAUACAGUAGGUGCUCAGCAGAUAUUUGUUGGAGGUGUGAACUGCACUUUACAUACAAGGAGACCACAGCUCAGGAGGUUAAUCAGCUCUCUGAAAUGUGGAGUUAGAACUCACACUUUCAUGGUUUGCAAUACUUUGGAAAGUGAAGUGGUUGGCAGCUCUUCCAGCUGCGAGUCCUCCACUCCUUCUACCAAAUCACAGCUUUGGCCUUCCCAGAAAAAAAUAUUGUCAUAUGGAAUUUCACAGAAUUGGGGGCCGGGCGUGGUGACUCAUGCCUGUAAUCCCAGCACUUUGGGAGGCCGAGGCAGGUGAAUCUCUUGAGGUCAGGAGUUCGAGACCAGCCUGGCCAACAUGGUGAAAUCCCGUCUCUACUAAAAAUACAAAAUUUAGCCAGGCGUGGGGGUGUGCACCUGUAAUCCCAGGUACUUGGGAGGCUGAGGCAGGAGAAUUGCUUGAACCCAUGAGGCGGAGGUUGGAGUAAGCUGAGAUCACGCCACUGCACUCCAGCCUGGGCAACAGAGCCAGACUCCGUCUCAAAAAAAAAAAAAAAAAAAAAAAAGAAUUGGGGAUUGAGAACUGCUUUUGAGCAAUAAAUCAACCAGUGAGGUAGACUCUUGUGGUAUCACCUUUCAACAUGGUCAAGCUAUGGAAACGUGAUUUUAAUUUCUCAGGUUUUUUGUUUGUUUGUUUUUGUUUUUGUUUUUAAUCUGCCAG